GAUGAGAGAAGAGACAGAAUGAGAGAAGAGAGAGAGAGAGAAAGAGAGAGAGAGAGAGAGAGAGUACUAUAUAUGUAUUGGAUAGGAACUUGAGAAGUAUGAAUGUAAGAGUUUUUAAGCAACUUUCUUCUCCUUUAAACCCAUUUAAUUCAGGGAGUUCCAACUCUGCAACUUUGUAUCUUUUAUUCAUCAGCCCUUCAUGGAGCAUAUAUGAUAUUUCAUGGUAGAAUAUGACGUUA
Non-coding RNA from Camellia sinensis, 239 nucleotides. Lineage: Eukaryota; Viridiplantae; Streptophyta; Magnoliopsida; Ericales; Theaceae. The record is from RefSeq and is a predicted model, not a curated record.